Molecule: ribosomal RNA, 2930 nt
Rfam family: Bacterial large subunit ribosomal RNA
Source: Rfam
GAACAAGUUACCAAGGGCAACAGGUGGAUGCCUUGGCGCUGGAAGGCGAAGAAAGACGUGGUAGGCUGCGAUAAGUCUCGGGGAGGAGCCAAACAUCCUUUGAUCCGGGAAUGUCUGAAUGGGGAAACCCGGCAGGAGUCAUGUCCUGUCACCCGCAACUGAACAAAUAGGUUGCAGGGAGCCAACCCGGGGAAGUGAAACAUCUCAGUACCCGGAGGAAAGGAAAUCAAACGAGACUCCCGAAGUAGCGGCGAGCGAACCGGGAUUAGCCCAAACCGGAUGGUUUCGACCAUCCGGGGUUGUAGGACCUCGAUGUGGGAUUGACUACUAGGCAGGAGAAGUGAGCUGGAAAGCUCCGCCAUAGCGAGUGAUAGCCUCGUAUCUGAAACCGAACGUCACCCUAGAGGCACCUGAGUACUGCGAGGCACGUGAAACCUCGUGGGAAUCUGGGAGGACCAUCUUCCAAGGCUAAGUACUAACCAGCGACCGAUAGUGCACUAGUACCGUGAGGGAAAGGUGAAAAGAACCCCUGUCAGGGGAGUGAAAUAGAAUCUGAAACCUGUUGCCUACAAGCUGUGGGAGCAUCCUUGAGAUGUGACCGCGUGCCUUUUGCAUAAUGAGUCAGCGAGUUACUCUGUCGUGCGAGGUUAAGCGAAAGUGGAGCCGUAGCGAAAGCGAGUCUGAUAAGGGCGAUAAGUACGACGGAGUAGACCCGAAACCGGGUGAUCUAUCCAUGAGCAGGUUGAAGCAAGGGUAAAGCCUUGUGGAGGACCGAACCAGUAACGGCUGAAAACGUUUUGGAUGACUUGUGGAUAGGGGUGAAAGGCCAAUCAAACUCGGUGAUAGCUGGUUCUCCCCGAAAUAUAUUGAGGUAUAGCCUCGGGAAAUUGUCUCGCGGAGGUAGAGCACUGACAGGGCUAGGGGUCCCACCAGAUUACCAAACCCUUUCAAACUCCGAAUGCCGCAGAGAUGUACCCCGGGAGUCAGACGGCGGGUGCGAAGGUCCGUCGUCAAAAGGGAAACAGCCCAGAUCGACAGCUAAGGCCUCCAAUUCCAUGCUCAGUGGGAAAGGUGGUGGAGUUGUUCAGACAGCCAGGACGUUGGCUUAGAAGCAGCCAUCGUUUAAAGAAAGCGUAAUAGCUCACUGGUCUAAUGACUCUGCGCCGAAAAUGUAACGGGGCUAAGCAUGGAGCCGAAGCUUCGGGAUCGUCUAGUACGAUCGGUAGGGGAGCGUUCUCUGUGGGCUGAAGGUUUGCCGGAAGGCACGCUGGACUGCAGAGAAGUGAUUAUGCUGACAUGAGUAACGAUAAAACAGGUGAGAAACCUGUUCGCCGUAAACCCAAGGUUUCCUGGGUAAAGGUAAUCUUCCCAGGGUUAGUCGGUCCCUAAGGCGAGGGCGAAAGCCGUAGUCGAUGGGAAACGGGUUAAUAUUCCCGUACCUGUGCGUUCGCGCGAUGGAGGGACGGAGAAGGAUAAGCGAGCCGGCUGUUGGCUUAGCCGGUGCAAGUGCGUAGGCUUGGGGGAGAGGCAAAUCCGCCCCCUUUAAGGCCGAGACACGAGUCCGUGACCGCAAGGUCUGAAGUCGCCGAGUCCAUGCUCCCUAGAAAAGCUCCUAAGUAUAGUGCGUACAGACCGUACCGGAAACCAACACAGGUGGGUGGGGUGAAUAACCCAAGGCGCUCGAGAGAACUCUGGCCAAGGAACUCGGCAAAAUGACCCCGUAACUUCGGAAGAAGGGGUGCUCUCUAAGGUGUAGGGUAUACAUCCAAAGCCUCGGAGAGCCGCAGUGAAAUGGUGGUGGCGACUGUUUACUAAAAACAUAGGUCUCUGCGAAGUCGCAAGACGACGUAUAGGGACUGACGCCUGCCCGGUGCCGGAAGGUUAAGAGGAGGGGUCAGCGCAAGCGAAGCUCCGAAUCGAAGCCCCGGUAAACGGCGGCCGUAACUAUAACGGUCCUAAGGUAGCGAAAUUCCUUGUCGGGUAAGUUCCGACCUGCACGAAUGGCGUAACGAUCUCCACACUGUCUCGGCCAGAGACUCGGUGAAAUUGAAGUCGCGGUGAAAAUGCCGUGUACCCGCAGAAAGACGGAAAGACCCUGUGCACCUUUACUAUAGCUUGACAUUGGGUUUUGGGCUUGCAUGUGUAGGAUAGGUGGGAGGCUGUGAACCCUGUACGCCAGUAUGGGGGGAGCCAUCCUUGAAAUACCACCCUUGCAAGUCUAAGGCUCUAAUCCCUACCCGUGAUCCGGGAGGGAGACAGUGUCUGGUGGGUAGUUUGACUGGGGCGGUCGCCUCCCAAAUUGUAACGGAGGCACGCAAAGGUUCCCUCAGCCUGAUUGGAAACCAGGCGUCGAGUGCAAACGCAUAAGGGAGCUUGACUGCAAGACAGACAUGUCGAGCAGGGACGAAAGUCGGCGUUAGUGAUCCGGUGGUUCCGCAUGGAAGGGCCAUCGCUCAUUGGAUAAAAGGUACGCCGGGGAUAACAGGCUGAUCGCGCCCAAGAGUUCAUAUCGACGGCGCGGUUUGGCACCUCGAUGUCGGCUCAUCACAUCCUGGGGCUGAAGCAGGUCCCAAGGGUACGGCUGUUCGCCGUUUAAAGUGGUACGCGAGCUGGGUUUAAAACGUCGUGAGACAGUUUGGUCCCUAUCUUCUGUGGGCGUAGGAGAAUUGAGAGGGCCUGUCCCUAGUACGAGAGGACCGGGAUGGACAUACCUCUGGUGGUCCUGUUGUCGCGCCAGCGGCAUAGCAGGGUAGCUAUGUGUGGAAGGGAUAACCGCUGAAAGCAUCUAAGCGGGAAGCCUGCCUCAAGAUAAGUUCUCCCCUCUUUUAGAGCUGAAGGGCCCAGGUAGACUACCUGGUCGAUAGGCUGGAGGUGGAAGUGCGGCGACGCAUGGAGCUGACCAGUACUAAUAGCCCGAGCGCCUUGUUUUC